CUCCGUAGGUGAACCUGCGNNNGGAUCAUUACACAAAUAUGAAGGCGGGCUGGAACCUCUCGGGGUUACAGCCUUGCUGAAUUAUUCACCCUUGUCUUUUGCGUACUUCUUGUUUCCUUGGUGGGUUCGCCCACCACUAGGACAAACAUAAACCUUUUGUAAUUGCAAUCAGCGACAGUAACAAAUUAAUAAUUACAACUUUCAACAACGGAUCUCUUGGUUCUGGCAUCGAUGAAGAACGCAGCGAAAUGCGAUAAGUAGUGUGAAUUGCAGAAUUCAGUGAAUCAUCGAAUCUUUGAACGCACAUUGCGCCCUUUGGUAUUCCAAAGGGCAUGCCUGUUCGAGCGUCAUUUGUACCCUCAAGCUUUGCUUGGUGUUGGGCGUCUUGUCUCUAGCUUUGCUGGAGACUCGCCUUAAAGUAAUUGGCAGCCGGCCUACUGGUUUCGGAGCGCAGCACAAGUCGCACUCUCUAUCAGCAAAGGUCUAGCAUCCAUUAAGCCUUUUUUUCAACUUUUGACCUCGGAUCAGGUAGGGAUACCCGCUGAACUUAAGCAUAUCA
This 559-nucleotide ribosomal RNA is filed under the name uncultured fungus. RNAcentral describes it as "eukaryotic LSU rRNA". The stretch from base 197 to 350 matches the Rfam family "5.8S ribosomal RNA". The record is from RNAcentral. Lineage: Eukaryota; Fungi.